This 1741-nucleotide long non-coding RNA is filed under the name Hordeum vulgare. RNAcentral describes it as "long non-coding RNA (HVUL_LNC013860)". Lineage: Eukaryota; Viridiplantae; Streptophyta; Magnoliopsida; Poales; Poaceae. The record is from RNAcentral.
CGAAUUCCCUUAAUCCGCAACAGAAAGUACAGUAGCCCGAUCGAUCGAGAUAGUCUUAAAGCCGAUCCCUUUCGGUCUUGCAUCUGCAGAGAUGCCUGAAAAGAGCUCUGAAGCGAACCAGGAUCGAACAUGAUGCGACACCCGGCAGGAUUAGGAUCGUGCUUGGCUUCAGAGCUGUAUACUGAUGGAUGGCCUGCCCGGACACAUCUCCAGCCUCUUUUCGCCUGGACCUCUCGUGCAUCAGCAUCAUCACAUCUGAUUACUGUGUCGUAUGAUCAAAACAAAGAUCGAUCACCGUGGGGCCAUGGAAGGUUGGAUGAUGAGUUGAAUUAAUCAAGUUAAUGCAGGGAGGUAGCUGACAUGUUCGUCUCCUCGAUCCUUCUUGGCCUCAUCCAAUCCAGUAGCAACACCACGAGAAACUGAAACAAAUCACACUGAAAACAACGCCAUGGCGAAAUAAAUACCGAAUUAAUCUGCAAUGUUCAUGAUGCAAUAAACAAUCCCUUUCCAACUGAUUUAUUUUCCGACUCGUGUGUUACAAUACUCAAUCGAGUACCCAAUGAAUGCAUCUUUUCUUGGUCGAUCGAGUUACAACCUCAAAGUUUGCAGCACUCCUAUUCCCACACCUGCAUAGCAAUUACUAGUAAGAUAGACACCAUAAUAUGAUUGACACCGAUCAAGAUCAGAAAAGAAGAAGCAGAGGACGGUGAAGUCGUUCAGAGACAAUCAGAUUGAUGUUGUCUUUAUUUAUUUGCCACAGAUGAUACCUCCCUGCUAUGAGCAUGUUUAUGCCAAGCUAUCAGCGUGGUUGACAAAUAAAGUGAUCUUGAUUCUCUCUACGAAAUCAGGUCAAUUAAUAAUAGAUUAUUUUGCUGAAUUACAAACAAGAACUGUAUAGUUAGCACUACACUGUUAAUGGAUAGAUAAUGAGGAAAAGAGUUUGACAUACAUCUGAAAUUUGACAUAUCUGAAAUAUAGUUAGCACUACACAGUAUUUUUAUUAACAGAGAACUCUAAACAGAGGCCUCCGUUAGUGAUAGUAAGCAAAAAAGAAAAGAUUUAGCACCCAAACUCCAAAUAAAUAAUUCUGAAAAUACAACACGGAGAACAUCUUUCUAUGUCUACAGAGUGCAGACCAUCGAGAGAGAAUGUAAACAAGUAAAUUAUCAUGAUGGCAUAUCAUAUACCUUCAUCUUCUUACUCUGGUUCUAAUGAUGCGCCUUUGUAUCUUUUUGGAUCUGCAAUACAAAAUAAAAAACACGUAAAUUAUUAGAUUAACUAUGUUUAUCAAUUUUCGUGAAGAAUAAAAACACAAAAUAAAGUUUUCAUAACAUAUACCUUCAUUUUCGGUGCCGCUGGGGAGGGCAUGGAGGAGAUGAACGACUUCUCUGGUCCGGCCGUGGGGGUGUUGGAAGGUGGCGUUGGCGCAGCUGUGGGGGAGGUGGACGGUGGCGCAGGUGCAGCCGUGGGGUAGGUGGACGUCAGCACUUGUGCAGCUGCGGGAUAGGUGGAUGGCGGCGAUGUUGUGGCUACGAUGGAGGUUGAAGGUGGCGCUGCACCGUCCAUGAAGACGACAGGUGUGGACGACAGCGCCAAGCCGUCCAUGGGAAAGGUCGAAGACAACGCCAAGCCAUCCAUGGGGCCGGCGACGGGGACGGCGGCGGCGGCAGACCUACCCUAUCAUCACGCGAAAGGGGAACGAGAUUAACUGGGUUAGGGAAAAACCUGGGCCAGUUCAUUU